GACGAACGCUGGCGGCGUGCUUAACACAUGCAAGUCGAACGGAAAGGCCCUGCUUGCAGGGUACUCGAGUGGCGAACGGGUGAGUAACACGUGGGUGAUCUGCCCUGCACUUCGGGAUAAGCCUGGGAAACUGGGGUUAUUACCGGAAAGGAGCCAUUUUUAGUGUGAUGGUUGGAAAGUUUUUUCGGUGUAGGAUGGGCUCGCGGCCUAUCAGCUUGUUGGUGGGGUAAUGGCCUACCAAGGCGGCGACGGGUAGCCGGCCUGAGAGGGUGGACGGCCACAUUGGGACUGAGAUACGGCCCAGACUCCUACGGGAGGCAGCAGUGGGGAAUAUUGCACAAUGGGCGCAAGCCUGAUGCAGCGACGCCGCGUGGGGGAUGACGGCCUUCGGGUUGUAAACUCCUUUCGCUAGGGACGAAGCUUUUGUGACGGUACCUAGAUAAGAAGCACCGGCUAACUACGUG
This 464-nucleotide ribosomal RNA is filed under the name uncultured bacterium. RNAcentral describes it as "partial 16S ribosomal RNA". It matches the Rfam family "Bacterial small subunit ribosomal RNA", at positions 28 to 507 of the family's 1533-position model. The record is from RNAcentral.